AGGACGAACGCUGGCGGCGUGCCUAACACAUGCAAGUCGAACGAGGUCCAACCGGUGGCAACACUGGUGAAGACCUAGUGGCGAACGGGUGAGUAUCACGUGAGCAACCUGCCCCGAAGACUGGGAUAACACCGGGAAACCGGUGCUAAUACCGGAUACCCCCACCGGAUCGCAUGGUCUGGUGAGGAAAUGAAUUUUGCUUUGGGAGGGACUCGCGGCCUAUCAGCUUGUUGGUGGUGUAACGGACCACCAAGGCUUCGACGGGUAGCUGGUCUGAGAGGACGAUCAGCCACACUGGGACUGAGACACGGCCCAGACUCCUACGGGAGGCAGCAGUGGGGAAUCUUGCGCAAUGGGCGAAAGCCUGACGCAGCAACGCCGCGUGAGGGACGAAGGCCUUCUGGGUUGUAAACCUCUUUCAGCAGGGACGAUGAUGACGGUACCUGCAGAGAGCCCGGCAACUACGUGCCAGCAGCCGC
This 479-nucleotide ribosomal RNA is filed under the name uncultured bacterium. RNAcentral describes it as "SSU rRNA". It matches the Rfam family "Bacterial small subunit ribosomal RNA", at positions 26 to 518 of the family's 1533-position model. The record is from RNAcentral.